RNAcentral lists this ribosomal RNA (818 nucleotides) under Bacillus sp. (in: firmicutes). RNAcentral's name for it is "bacterial SSU rRNA". It matches the Rfam family "Bacterial small subunit ribosomal RNA", at positions 55 to 854 of the family's 1533-position model. The record is from RNAcentral. Lineage: Bacteria; Bacillati; Bacillota; Bacilli; Caryophanales; Bacillaceae.
AUGCAAGUCGAGCGGACAGAUGGGAGCUUGCUCCCUGAUGUUAGCGGCGGACGGGUGAGUAACACGUGGGUAACCUGCCUGUAAGACUGGGAUAACUCCGGGAAACCGGGGCUAAUACCGGAUGGUUGUUUGAACCGCAUGGUUCAGACAUAAAAGGUGGCUUCGGCUACCACUUACAGAUGGACCCGCGGCGCAUUAGCUAGUUGGUGAGGUAACGGCUCACCAAGGCGACGAUGCGUAGCCGACCUGAGAGGGUGAUCGGCCACACUGGGACUGAGACACGGCCCAGACUCCUACGGGAGGCAGCAGUAGGGAAUCUUCCGCAAUGGACGAAAGUCUGACGGAGCAACGCCGCGUGAGUGAUGAAGGUUUUCGGAUCGUAAAGCUCUGUUGUUAGGGAAGAACAAGUGCCGUUCAAAUAGGGCGGCACCUUGACGGUACCUAACCAGAAAGCCACGGCUAACUACGUGCCAGCAGCCGCGGUAAUACGUAGGUGGCAAGCGUUGUCCGGAAUUAUUGGGCGUAAAGGGCUCGCAGGCGGUUUCUUAAGUCUGAUGUGAAAGCCCCCGGCUCAACCGGGGAGGGUCAUUGGAAACUGGGGAACUUGAGUGCAGAAGAGGAGAGUGGAAUUCCACGUGUAGCGGUGAAAUGCGUAGAGAUGUGGAGGAACACCAGUGGCGAAGGCGACUCUCUGGUCUGUAACUGACGCUGAGGAGCGAAAGCGUGGGGAGCGAACAGGAUUAGAUACCCUGGUAGUCCACGCCGUAAACGAUGAGUGCUAAGUGUUAGGGGGUUUCCGCCCCUUAGUGCUGCAGCUA